RNAcentral lists this ribosomal RNA (384 nucleotides) under uncultured bacterium. Its description in RNAcentral is "bacterial SSU rRNA". It matches the Rfam family "Bacterial small subunit ribosomal RNA", at positions 28 to 410 of the family's 1533-position model. The record is from RNAcentral.
GACGAACGCUGGCGGCGUGCCUAACACAUGCAAGUCGAGCGAGUUAAUCUCCUUCGGGAGUGAAGCUAGCGGCGGACGGGUGAGUAACACGUGGGCAACCUGCCUCAUAGAGGGGAAUAGCCUUCCGAAAGGAAGAUUAAUACCGCAUAAGAUUGUAGCUUCGCAUGAAGUAGCAAUUAAAGGAGCAAUCCGCUAUGAGAUGGGCCCGCGGCGCAUUAGCUAGUUGGUGAGGUAACGGCUCACCAAGGCGACGAUGCGUAGCCGACCUGAGAGGGUGAUCGGCCACAUUGGGACUGAGACACGGCCCAGACUCCUACGGAGGCAGCAGUGGGGAAUAUUGCACAAUGGGGGAAACCCUGAUGCAGCAACGCCGCGUGAGUGAUG